Molecule: ribosomal RNA, 460 nt
Filed under: uncultured bacterium
Lineage: Bacteria
Description: partial 16S ribosomal RNA
Rfam family: Bacterial small subunit ribosomal RNA
Source: RNAcentral
CCUACGGGAGGCUGCAGUGAGGAAUAUUGGUCAAUGGACGAAAGUCUGAACCAGCCAAGUCGCGUGCAGGAUGACUGCCCUAUGAGUUGUAAACUUCUUUUGUAAGGGGAUAAAACGAGGCACGUGUGCCUUGUUGCAUGUACUUUAUGAAUAAGGAUCGGCUAACUCCGUGCCAGCAGCCGCGGUAAUACGGAGGAUCCGAGCGUUAUCCGGAUUUAUUGGGUUUAAAGGGAGCGUAGACGGGUUGUUAAGUCAGUUGUGAAAGUUUGCGGCUCAACCGCAAAAUUGCAAUUGAUACUGGCAGGCUUGAGUACAGUUGAGGUAAGCGGAAUUCGUGGUGUAGCGGUGAAAUGCAUAGAUAUCACGAAGAACCCCGAUUGCGAAGGCAGCUUACUAAACUGUGACUGACAUUGAUGCUCGAAAGUGUGGGUAUCAAACAGGAUUAGAUACCCUGGUAGUC